GAUCAGACCACACUGGGACUUUGAGACACUUGGCCCAGACUCCUACGGGAGGCAGCAGUGGGAAGAAUUUUGGAUCAAUGGGGGCAACCCUGAUCCAGCCAUUCCGCGUGAGUGAAGAAAGGCCUUUCGGGUUGUUAAAGCUCUUUUGUUCGGGACGAAACGGUUAAGGCUAAAUAACACUUCGACUUACCUGACGGUACCGGAAGAAUAAGCACCGGCUAACUACGUGAAACCAGCGACGCGCGCGGUAAUACGUAGGGUGCGAGCGUUAAUCGGAAUUACUAAGGGCAGUAGACGAGGCGUGCGCAGGCGGUUUUAUAAGCCAGAUGCGAAAGCACCCGGGCUCAAAGCCGUGGGAAUGGCAUUUGGGACUGUAAGGCUGGAGUAUAGGCAGAGGAGACUAAGAGAUUCCUGGUGUAGCAGUGAAAUGCGUAGAUGCC
RNAcentral lists this ribosomal RNA (440 nucleotides) under uncultured bacterium. RNAcentral's name for it is "bacterial SSU rRNA". It matches the Rfam family "Bacterial small subunit ribosomal RNA", at positions 302 to 698 of the family's 1533-position model. The record is from RNAcentral.